RNAcentral lists this ribosomal RNA (463 nucleotides) under uncultured bacterium. RNAcentral's name for it is "partial 16S ribosomal RNA". It matches the Rfam family "Bacterial small subunit ribosomal RNA", at positions 28 to 507 of the family's 1533-position model. The record is from RNAcentral.
GAUGAACGCUGACAGAAUGCUUAACACAUGCAAGUCUUUGGCGAAGCUGUGCUUGCACCGCCUAGCCAAGGCGGACGGGUGAGUAACGCGUAAGGAACUUGCCCUGCAGUCAGGGAUAACAGACGGAAACGACUGAUAAGACCUGGUAAAGUCAGGCGGACUCAUGUCCAGCCUGAUGAAAAGAGAUGCUGCAGGAGAGCCUUGCGUCCUAUUAGCUUGUUGGUGGGGUAACGGCCCACCAAGGCGAUGAUAGGUAGCCGGCCUGAGAGGGUGGACGGCCACAAGGGGACUGAGAUACGGCCCUUACUCCUACGGGAGGCAGCAGGGGGGAAUAUUGGACAAGGGGGGCAACCCUGAUCCAGCAAUUCUGUGUGCACGAUGAAGGUUUUCGGAUUGUAAAGUGCUUUCAGCAGGGAAGAAAAAAAUGACGGUACCUGCAGAAGAAGCGACGGCUAAAUACGUG